UAAUUAGGUUUGGUUUAAUAGAAAAAUCACUAUAAAUUUUUUAUGAUUUAUCUAAAAAAACAAAAACAGAAAAUAAAUUUUAUUUAAUAAUUAAAAGUUAUUGAAAUUUAUAGCUAAAUUUAGCUAAUU
This 129-nucleotide ribosomal RNA is filed under the name Amblyomma patinoi. RNAcentral describes it as "partial 12S ribosomal RNA". The record is from RNAcentral. Lineage: Eukaryota; Metazoa; Arthropoda; Arachnida; Ixodida; Ixodidae.